RNAcentral lists this ribosomal RNA (465 nucleotides) under uncultured bacterium. RNAcentral's name for it is "partial 16S ribosomal RNA". It matches the Rfam family "Bacterial small subunit ribosomal RNA", at positions 338 to 795 of the family's 1533-position model. The record is from RNAcentral.
CCUACGGGAGGCAGCAGUGGGGAAUAUUGCGCAAUGGGCGAAAGCCUGACGCAGCGACGCCGCGUGAGGGAUGAAGGUCUUCGGAUCGUAAACCUCUGUCAGCAGGGAAGAACGGUCACUGUGCUAAUCAGCAGUGAAUUGACGGUACCUGCAAAGGAAGCACCGGCUAACGCCGUGCCAGCAGCCGCGGUAAUACGGAGGGUGCGAGCGUUAAUCGGAAUUACUGGGCGGAAAGCGCUCGUAGGCGGUAUGUCAAGUCAAGGGUGAAAUCCCCGCGCGCAACGUGUGAACUGCCUUUGAAACGGGCAAACUGGAGUGUGUGAGAGGAUAGUGGAAGUCCAGGUGUAGGAGUGAAAUCCGUAGAUAUCUGGAGGAACAUCAGUGGCGAAGGCGACUAUCUGGCACAUAACUGACGCUGAGGAGCGAAAGCGUGGGUAGCAAACAGGAGUAGAUACCCGGGUAGUC